GUAAAAUACGGGAUCCGCCAGCGGCCUUUUUGCGACGCCAUUUUGCACGUGUAGAACUUCCCAUUUUGUUACGACUGGCACAAAUUACACAAUCUAAACGCCUCGGCUUGCGGCACUCCUGAUACCGCUGGGAAGGAAGCCGGUUGUAGGCUGGAGUACCCACCCGGAGUAGUCGGGGGUGAGUGGUUACCUUAGUGGUUGCCAUGGUAUUACAUACUAAAGUCUGUUUCAAUUAAUGUAUGAGUAAUUGUCGAUAAUACAUACAUACAUAUAUAUACCCAUGCACUGUUCAUGUAUGCCCCACAAUUGCGUUGUAUUACGAUAUAUAGAGGGUUCACACCCCCUGGGUUAUCGAUUAUUGAUCAUCGUGCUGUUACUGUUACCAUGCAGUUAUGUAUCGCAUUUCGUGCCUGACCUUGACGUUUCCAGACGUAGUAAUACAUAACCUAAGGUGGAUUACAUGGUUAAUAAUCUCUACAUAGUUAUGAUACUUUCUGACAUGUAUUGAGUAUAGUCCAUGUUGAAUUGAUAUAGCAACUGGUUGUAAUGCUGUCAUUCGCUCCGGUCAGCACACUACAAUGUGAUUCCUGUUUGCUGUGUUAAUAGGUUCUGCGUUUGCACCUAAAUAAAGAUGUCGGACCCAGAAUAGA
Molecule: long non-coding RNA, 650 nt
Organism: Priapulus caudatus
Lineage: Eukaryota; Metazoa; Priapulida; Priapulimorpha; Priapulimorphida; Priapulidae
Exons: 2
Source: RefSeq, a predicted model, not a curated record